This 245-nucleotide ribosomal RNA is filed under the name uncultured Symbiobacterium sp. RNAcentral's name for it is "partial 16S ribosomal RNA". It matches the Rfam family "Bacterial small subunit ribosomal RNA", at positions 524 to 768 of the family's 1533-position model. The record is from RNAcentral. Lineage: Bacteria; Bacillati; Bacillota; Clostridia; Eubacteriales; Symbiobacteriaceae.
UACGUAGGGGGCGAGCGUUGUCCGGAUUUAUUGGGCGUAAAGGGCGUGUAGGCGGCCGCGUAAGUCAGGGGUGAAACCCCGGGGCUCAACCCCGGGCCGGCCUCUGAAACUGCAUGGCUUGAGUGCUCUAGAGGGCAGUGGAAUUGCCGGUGUAGCAGUGAAAUGCGUAGAGAUCGGCAGGAACACCAGUGGCGAAGGCGACUGUCUGGGGAGCAACUGACGCUGAGGCGCGAAAGCUGGGGGAG